RNAcentral lists this ribosomal RNA (253 nucleotides) under uncultured bacterium. RNAcentral describes it as "partial 16S ribosomal RNA". It matches the Rfam family "Bacterial small subunit ribosomal RNA", at positions 524 to 776 of the family's 1533-position model. The record is from RNAcentral.
UACGUAGGGUGCGAGCGUUAAUCGGAAUUACUGGGCGUAAAGGGUGCGCAGGCGGCACCGCAAGUCGAGUGUGAAAGCCCCGGGCUUAACUUGGGAAUUGCGCUCGAAACUAUGGUGCUGGAGUGUGGCAGAGGAAGGUGGAAUUCCACGUGUAGCGGUGGAAUGCGCAGAUAUCAGGAGGAACACCGGUGGCGAAGGCGGGUCUCUGGACGGCAACUGACGCUGAGGCACGAAAGCGUGGGGAGCAAACAGG